GACGAACGCUGGCGGCGUGCUUAACACAUGCGAGUCGAACGGAAAGGCCCCUUUGGGGGUACUCGAGUGGCGAACGGGUGAGUAACACGUGAGUAACCUGCCCUUGACUUCGGGAUAACUUCAGGAAACUGGGGCUAAUACCGGAUAGGAAUCCUUGCUGCAUGGUGGGGGUUGGAAAGCUUCGGCGGUUUUGGAUGGACUCGCGACUUAUCAGCUUGUUGGUGGGGUAGUGGCUUACCAAGGCUUUGACGGGUAGCCGGCCUGAGAGGGCGACCGGCCACAUUGGGACUGAGAUACGGCCCAGACUCCUACGGGAGGCAGCAGUGGGGAAUAUUGCACAAUGGGCGGAAGCCUGAUGCAGCAACGCCGCGUGCGGGAUGACGGCCUUCGGGUUGUAAACCGCUUUCAGCAGGGGCGAAGCUUGUGGUGACGGUACCUGCAGAAGAAGCACCGGCUAACUACGUG
This 465-nucleotide ribosomal RNA is filed under the name uncultured bacterium. RNAcentral's name for it is "partial 16S ribosomal RNA". It matches the Rfam family "Bacterial small subunit ribosomal RNA", at positions 28 to 507 of the family's 1533-position model. The record is from RNAcentral.